This 613-nucleotide long non-coding RNA is filed under the name Ananas comosus (pineapple). RNAcentral's name for it is "long non-coding RNA (ACOM_LNC011608)". Lineage: Eukaryota; Viridiplantae; Streptophyta; Magnoliopsida; Poales; Bromeliaceae. The record is from RNAcentral.
UAAAGAAAAAGAAAAAGUGCAAAAAAACAAAGAAUUAGAUUAAAAUAUUAUGAACUAGGCUACUAUGCUAUUAAUAGCACCAAGUCAUUGGUGCUACCAAGUUUUUGGUCAUUGGAUUAAGAGAUGUGCGAUUAGGAUAAUGUGGGACCCCUCGGGUUGAGUGGGUGAUUGGUUGAAUAGUAUAAUCUAACGGGUGAAAAUGACCAAAAGGGUAGAUCUAACGGCGGAAAACUUGGUAGCACCAAGUGCUUUGUGCUAGUAAUAGCAUAGUAGCCGGACUCAAAUAUUAUUAAUAGCACUAAAUUAUUGGUGCUAUUAAGUUUUUGAUUUACCGACCGUCCCUAGAGCAUGUGGCAAAAGACUUGGUGGUUGGUAUCGAGAUCCUAAGUUCGAAUUCUAGUUGAUUCACAUUUAUAGCUAAGUUUAUUUUUCGAAGUUUUUGAUUUUUGAAUAAAGCUAUAUGCAGUUAGGAUAUCUCUUAAAAAAAAAAGUUUUUGAUUUUUCAAUGAAUCGAUGUAUGGUUAGAAUGAUAGUGGUCUUUAAAGUUGAGUGUGUGGUUGAUUGAAUAGUUAUAAUCUAACAAGUAAAGAUAAUCAAAGGUUGAUCUAACACA